GGUUAAGCGACUAAGCGUACACGGUGGAUGCCCUGGCAGUCAGAGGCGAUGAAGGACGUGCUAAUCUGCGAUAAGCGUCGGUGAGGUGAUAUGAACCGUUAUAACCGGCGAUUUCCGAAUGGGGAAACCCAGUGUGUUUCGACACACUAUCAUUAACUGAAUCCAUAGGUUAAUGAGGCGAACCGGGGGAACUGAAACAUCUAAGUACCCCGAGGAAAAGAAAUCAACCGAGAUUCCCCCAGUAGCGGCGAGCGAACGGGGAGGAGCCCAGAGCCUGAAUCAGUGUGUGUGUUAGUGGAAGCGUCUGGAAAGGCGCGCGAUACAGGGUGACAGCCCCGUACACAAAAAUGCACAUAUUGUGAGCUCGAUGAGUAGGGCGGGACACGUGGUAUCCUGUCUGAAUAUGGGGGGACCAUCCUCCAAGGCUAAAUACUCCUGACUGACCGAUAGUGAACCAGUACCGUGAGGGAAAGGCGAAAAGAACCCCGGCGAGGGGAGUGAAAAAGAACCUGAAACCGUGUACGUACAAGCAGUGGGAGCCUCUUUAUGGGGUGACUGCGUACCUUUUGUAUAAUGGGUCAGCGACUUAUAUUCUGUAGCAAGGUUAACCGAAUAGGGGAGCCGAAGGGAAACCGAGUCUUAACUGGGCGUUAAGUUGCAGGGUAUAGACCCGAAACCCGGUGAUCUAGCCAUGGGCAGGUUGAAGGUUGGGUAACACUAACUGGAGGACCGAACCGACUAAUGUUGAAAAAUUAGCGGAUGACUUGUGGCUGGGGGUGAAAGGCCAAUCAAACCGGGAGAUAGCUGGUUCUCCCCGAAAGCUAUUUAGGUAGCGCCUCGUGAAUUCAUCUCCGGGGGUAGAGCACUGUUUCGGCAAGGGGGUCAUCCCGACUUACCAACCCGAUGCAAACUGCGAAUACCGGAGAAUGUUAUCACGGGAGACACACGGCGGGUGCUAACGUCCGUCGUGAAGAGGGAAACAACCCAGACCGCCAGCUAAGGUCCCAAAGUCAUGGUUAAGUGGGAAACGAUGUGGGAAGGCCCAGACAGCCAGGAUGUUGGCUUAGAAGCAGCCAUCAUUUAAAGAAAGCGUAAUAGCUCACUGGUCGAGUCGGCCUGCGCGGAAGAUGUAACGGGGCUAAACCAUGCACCGAAGCUGCGGCAGCGACACUAUGUGUUGUUGGGUAGGGGAGCGUUCUGUAAGCCUGUGAAGGUGGCCUGUGAGGGUUGCUGGAGGUAUCAGAAGUGCGAAUGCUGACAUAAGUAACGAUAAAGCGGGUGAAAAGCCCGCUCGCCGGAAGACCAAGGGUUCCUGUCCAACGUUAAUCGGGGCAGGGUGAGUCGACCCCUAAGGCGAGGCCGAAAGGCGUAGUCGAUGGGAAACAGGUUAAUAUUCCUGUACUUGGUGUUACUGCGAAGGGGGGACGGAGAAGGCUAUGUUGGCCGGGCGACGGUUGUCCCGGUUUAAGCGUGUAGGCUGGUUUUCCAGGCAAAUCCGGAAAACCAAGGCUGAGGCGUGAUGACGAGGCACUACGGUGCUGAAGCGACAAAUGCCCUGCUUCCAGGAAAAGCCUCUAAGCAUCAGGUAACAUCAAAUCGUACCCCAAACCGACACAGGUGGUCAGGUAGAGAAUACCAAGGCGCUUGAGAGAACUCGGGUGAAGGAACUAGGCAAAAUGGUGCCGUAACUUCGGGAGAAGGCACGCUGAUAUGUAGGUGAAGCGACUUGCUCGUGGAGCUGAAAUCAGUCGAAGAUACCAGCUGGCUGCAACUGUUUAUUAAAAACACAGCACUGUGCAAACACGAAAGUGGACGUAUACGGUGUGACGCCUGCCCGGUGCCGGAAGGUUAAUUGAUGGGGUUAGCGGUAACGCGAAGCUCUUGAUCGAAGCCCCGGUAAACGGCGGCCGUAACUAUAACGGUCCUAAGGUAGCGAAAUUCCUUGUCGGGUAAGUUCCGACCUGCACGAAUGGCGUAAUGAUGGCCAGGCUGUCUCCACCCGAGACUCAGUGAAAUUGAACUCGCUGUGAAGAUGCAGUGUACCCGCGGCAAGACGGAAAGACCCCGUGAACCUUUACUAUAGCUUGACACUGAACAUUGAGCCUUGAUGUGUAGGAUAGGUGGGAGGCUUUGAAGUGUGGACGCCAGUCUGCAUGGAGCCGACCUUGAAAUACCACCCUUUAAUGUUUGAUGUUCUAACGUUGGCCCGUAAUCCGGGUUGCGGACAGUGUCUGGUGGGUAGUUUGACUGGGGCGGUCUCCUCCUAAAGAGUAACGGAGGAGCACGAAGGUUGGCUAAUCCUGGUCGGACAUCAGGAGGUUAGUGCAAUGGCAUAAGCCAGCUUGACUGCGAGCGUGACGGCGCGAGCAGGUGCGAAAGCAGGUCAUAGUGAUCCGGUGGUUCUGAAUGGAAGGGCCAUCGCUCAACGGAUAAAAGGUACUCCGGGGAUAACAGGCUGAUACCGCCCAAGAGUUCAUAUCGACGGCGGUGUUUGGCACCUCGAUGUCGGCUCAUCACAUCCUGGGGCUGAAGUAGGUCCCAAGGGUAUGGCUGUUCGCCAUUUAAAGUGGUACGCGAGCUGGGUUUAGAACGUCGUGAGACAGUUCGGUCCCUAUCUGCCGUGGGCGCUGGAGAACUGAGGGGGGCUGCUCCUAGUACGAGAGGACCGGAGUGGACGCAUCACUGGUGUUCGGGUUGUCAUGCCAAUGGCACUGCCCGGUAGCUAAAUGCGGAAGAGAUAAGUGCUGAAAGCAUCUAAGCACGAAACUUGCCCCGAGAUGAGUUCUCCCUGAGACUUAG
Molecule: ribosomal RNA, 2799 nt
Filed under: Escherichia coli
Lineage: Bacteria; Pseudomonadati; Pseudomonadota; Gammaproteobacteria; Enterobacterales; Enterobacteriaceae
Description: partial 23S ribosomal RNA
Rfam family: Bacterial large subunit ribosomal RNA
Source: RNAcentral